GUCGUGAGAUGUUGGGUUAAGUCCCGCAACGAGCGCAACCCUUGUCUUCUGUUGCCAUCAGGUAAUGCUGGGCACUCUGGAGAGACUGCCGGUGAUAAACCGGAGGAAGGUGGGGAUGACGUCAGGUCAGCAUGGCCUUUAUGUCUGGGGCUACACACGUGCUACAAUGGCCGGCACAAACCGUCGCAAAACCGCAAGGUGGAGCUAAUCGGAUAAAGUCGGUCUCAGUUCGGAUAGCAGGCUGCAACUCGCCUGCUUGAAGUUGGAAUCGCUAGUAAUCGCGGAUCAGCACGCCGCGGUGAAUACGUUCCCGGGCCUUGUACACACCGCCCGUCACAUCACGAAAGCCGGUUGUACUAGAAGUCGCUAUAUCAACCCGCAAGGGAGAGAGGCGCCUAAGGUAUGGUCGGUGAUGGGGUGAAGUCGUAACAAGGUAGCUGUAGGAGAACCUGUGGCUGGAUCACCUCCUUUCUAGAGCAUGGUUGCCGAAGCCCGCAAGGGUGGAGGUAGCUGUAAUCGAAGAUCGAUCUGGCACUCAGGCUGUUUGUGCUUGCACGCGCUAUCUAGUUUUGAGAGAACCGGCAACGGUUCCUUGACAGAGAAUAUCUGGGCCUGUAGCUCAGCUGGUUAGAGCACACGCUUGAUAAGCGUGGGGUCACUAGUUCGAAUCUAGUCAGGCCCACCAGCUAAAGGAGCAGUAUUGCGUAGUGCCUAGCGCGAGAAGGUUCGUUGGGAUGUUUCGGCUUCCACUUUCCUUCCACCGCGCGACGAAAAGCACCAUUCAAUUCAAUACGGGGAAUUAGCUCAGCUAGGAGAGCGCCUGGUUUGCAACCAGGAGGUCACCGGUUCGAGCCCGGUAUUCUCCAUAACCUUUAGGCGCGACAUUGAGUCGCGCCAGCUCGCCCGGGGCCCUGAAACCCCAGGCUCGCCAAAGUAGGGCGCGGCAUUGAGCAGCUGCGGACCAAGACGUAGAGCGUCUGGUUGAUUUCUUUGAAGAUUGCGCGAGGAAGCGGAGCGGGGUGAAGGGCCCCCGCGAGCGACGAGCGAAGGGGUCCGGGGGAAAGCGCCCCGCGCCACCGAAAGAAUUCCGCGGGGCGAUAUUUCCUCCGGAGUGAUCUUUGACAACUGAAUAUCCUGCAAACGGUAGUUUUUCCGACCACACACACGCAGUGUGCAUGAAACUGUCGCGGGCUUGAGUGAUUCGUCACUCGGGCCAGCGAAAGUUCGAGUUUCUUAUGGUCAAGCUACUAAGGGUGUACGGUGAAUGCCUUGGCGCCAGAAGUCGAUGAAGGACGCGGUAAGCUGCGAUAAGCCCCGGUGAGGUGCAAACAACCUUUGACCCGGGGAUGU
Molecule: small RNA, 1350 nt
Filed under: uncultured Acidobacteriaceae bacterium
Lineage: Bacteria; Pseudomonadati; Acidobacteriota; Terriglobia; Terriglobales; Acidobacteriaceae
Description: bacterial SSU rRNA
Rfam family: Bacterial small subunit ribosomal RNA (bases 1-471)
Source: RNAcentral